Molecule: ribosomal RNA, 866 nt
Filed under: uncultured archaeon
Lineage: Archaea
Description: bacterial SSU rRNA
Rfam family: Archaeal small subunit ribosomal RNA
Source: RNAcentral
CCUUACUGCUCAGUAACACGUAGUCAACCUGCCCUCGGGACGAGAACAAUCUCGGGAAACUGAGGCUAAUUCUUGAUAGGUCAAGAUUCCUGGAAUGGGUUUUGGCUUAAAUGGAGUAACAGCAUCUUGUUACUAACGCCCGAGGAUGGGACUGCGGCCGAUCAGGCUGUUGGUGAGGUAAAGGCUCACCAAACCAGUAACCGGUACGGGCUUUGAGAGAUGGAGCCCGGAGAUGGACACUGAGACAAGGGUCCAGGUCCUACGGGGCGCAGCAGGCGCGAAACCUUCGCAAUGUGCGAAAGCACGACGAGGUUAUUCCGAGUGAUCUCCGCUGAGGAGAUCUUUUCUUAGAUUUAAAACGUCUGGGGAAUAAGGGGAGGGCAAGUCUGGUGUCAGCCGCCGCGGUAAUACCAGCUCCUCGAGUGGUCAGGGCGUUUAUUGGGCCUAAAGCAUCCGUAGCCGGCUUAGUAGGUCUCCUGUUAAAUCCAACGGCUCAACCGUUGGCCUGCAGGGGAUACCGCUGGGCUAGGAGGCGGGAGAGGCGGACGGUACUCCGAGGGUAGGGGUAAAAUCCUUUGAUCCCCGGAAGACCACCAGUGGCGAAGGCGGUCCGCCAGAACGCGCUCGACGGUGAGGGAUGAAAGCUGGGGGAGCGAACCGGAUUAGAUAGGCAUUAGUGGAGAAUAAAAACUAAAACUUUACUUCUGCCCUAAAUACCCGGGUAGUCCCAGCCGUAAACGAUGCGAGCUAGGUGACACAACGCCUUCGGGGCGUUGUGGUGCCGCAGGGAAGCCGUUAAGCUCGCCGCCUGGGGAGUACGGACGCAAGUCUGAAACUUAAAGGAAUUGGCGGGGGAGCACAAGGGC